RNAcentral lists this ribosomal RNA (497 nucleotides) under uncultured bacterium. RNAcentral describes it as "partial 16S ribosomal RNA". It matches the Rfam family "Bacterial small subunit ribosomal RNA", at positions 28 to 507 of the family's 1533-position model. The record is from RNAcentral.
GAUGAACGCUGGCGGCGUGCCUAAUACAUGCAAGUAGAACGCUGAAGCUUGGUGCUUGCACCGAGCGGAUGAGUUGCGAACGGGUGAGUAACGCGUAGGUAACCUGCCUCUUAGCGGGGGAUAACUAUUGGAAACGAUAGCUAAUACCGCAUAAAAGUCGAUAUCGCAUGAUAUUGAUUUGAAAGGUGCAAUUGCAUCACUAAGAGAUGGACCUGCGUUGUAUUAGCUAGUUGGUGAGGUAACGGCUCACCAAGGCAACGAUACAUAGCCGACCUGAGAGGGUGGUCCGCCACACCGGGACUGGGACACGGCCCAGGCUCCUUCGGGAGGCAGCAGUAGGGGAUCUUCGGCAAUGGGGGCAACCCUGACCGAGCAACGCCGCGUGAGUGAAGAAGGUUUUCGGAUCGUAAAGCUCUGUUGUAAGAGGAGAACGAGUGUGAAGGUGGAAAGUUCACGCUGUGACGGUAACUUACCAGAAAGGGACGGCUAACUACGUG